GACGAACGCUGGCGGCGUGCUUAACACAUGCAAGUCGAACGGAAAGGCCCUGCUUUUGUGGGGUGCUCGAGUGGCGAACGGGUGAGUAACACGUGAGUAACCUGCCCUUGACUUUGGGAUAACUUCAGGAAACUGGGGCUAAUACCGGAUAGGAGCUCCUGCUGCAUGGUGUGGUUUGGAAAGUUUCGGCGGUUGGGGAUGGACUCGCGGCUUAUCAGCUUGUUGGUGGGGUAGUGGCUUACCAAGGCUUUGACGGGUAGCCGGCCUGAGAGGGUGACCGGCCACAUUGGGACUGAGAUACGGCCCAGACUCCUACGGGAGGCAGCAGUGGGGAAUAUUGCACAAUGGGCGGAAGCCUGAUGCAGCAACGCCGCGUGCGGGAUGACGGCCUUCGGGUUGUAAACCGCUUUCGCCUGUGACGAAGCGUGAGUGACGGUAAUGGGUAAAGAAGCACCGGCUAACUACGUG
Molecule: ribosomal RNA, 468 nt
Filed under: uncultured bacterium
Lineage: Bacteria
Description: partial 16S ribosomal RNA
Rfam family: Bacterial small subunit ribosomal RNA
Source: RNAcentral